GAGCAGACGGGUGUGACUUGAAAGGACGAGUCGCUUCGUUUCCUCUCGCCACGUGUAAAGGCUAUGAAACAGCACUCGAGUGGCUAUUCUUUGAGAUUUGAACUUCGAGGUCGUUUUGGACCGUUGGAUUUUCGCGCCUUUUCGUUUCCCCUGAGAUCACAUCUGGGCCACUUGAUCGUGAUUGAUCCGGACCGUUAGAUCGAUCCUGUGGUUCAGAUGGAAGCGGCGCGAAUUUUCCUGUACGGAUGCGUUGGCCUAUAUAUAGGAGGGAGGUUUUUCGUUUGAAACUUUACAGUUUCUCACUUACUUUCUCUAUCAUUUUGCCUUCCCGGUCCAAGCUUUCUCUGGUGUUUUUCUACUACAAACUCCUCAUUCCUGUCUUCAUUUGAUCAACAAGUAAG
RNAcentral lists this long non-coding RNA (401 nucleotides) under Trifolium pratense (red clover). RNAcentral describes it as "long non-coding RNA (TPRA_LNC009015)". Lineage: Eukaryota; Viridiplantae; Streptophyta; Magnoliopsida; Fabales; Fabaceae. The record is from RNAcentral.